GAUGGUGUAGCUCAGCGGUUAGAGCAGUUGACUGUUAAUCAACGGGUCGAUGGUUCAAAUCCAUCCACCAUCGCCA
Molecule: transfer RNA, 76 nt
Filed under: Escherichia coli
Lineage: Bacteria; Pseudomonadati; Pseudomonadota; Gammaproteobacteria; Enterobacterales; Enterobacteriaceae
Also listed under: 6 other names
Description: tRNA-Asn(gtt)
Rfam family: tRNA
About the family: Transfer RNA (tRNA) molecules are approximately 80 nucleotides in length. Their secondary structure includes four short double-helical elements and three loops (D, anti-codon, and T loops). Further hydrogen bonds mediate the characteristic L-shaped molecular structure. tRNAs have two regions of fundamental functional importance: the anti-codon, which is responsible for specific mRNA codon recognition, and the 3' end, to which the tRNAs corresponding amino acid is attached (by aminoacyl-tRNA synthetases). tRNAs cope with the degeneracy of the genetic code in two manners: having more than one tRNA (with a specific anti-codon) for a particular amino acid; and 'wobble' base-pairing, i.e. permitting non-standard base-pairing at the 3rd anti-codon position.
Source: RNAcentral